Long non-coding RNA from Cucumis melo (muskmelon), 1076 nucleotides. RefSeq lists it as uncharacterized. The record is from RefSeq and is a predicted model, not a curated record. The transcript is spliced from 2 exons. Lineage: Eukaryota; Viridiplantae; Streptophyta; Magnoliopsida; Cucurbitales; Cucurbitaceae.
UUAAAACAAAAAAUUAUUUAAUAUAUACUGAAAUUAGAUUUUUUUUAAAAAAAAAUUAAAAAUGAAAGACAUAUUAAAUAGGGGAUUUAAAAAUGGUAAGUAAAUCUAUUUAGAAGAAGAGCAAAAUUUUGUAAAGUCCUUACAAUCCCAAGUGAAAAUAUUGUAAAGUCCUUCGAAUGCCAAGUGAAAGUAGCCACAAUAACCACACGUCAGACCCAAUAAUGGACAAGUAUUUCAACCCAAUACCCACUUCUCCAUUUCUUGAUCUUCACUCUCACUUUUGACCCAAUACCCACAUCUCAAUACUCUUCAUCUCACUGCUUAUCGAGAAAGAUCGACCUCAAUUCAAUCAAAGAACAAACAGAAACGGUCGAUCAACAAAGAAGAAGUAGCCAAAGACGAUGUGGAGAAGAAAUUGCAAGGUAUAAUACAGAAGCAUACAAACAAGAAUGCCAAAGCACUUGACUUACACAAGGUGGACCACGGAAGCCCAUAUUUUCCCUUUGCAAACAUCCCCUUCAAGAAUGACCAAAAGCACAAAAUCAGCCACACACUGCAUGUCACCUCGCCCACCCCAAACUCUACCACAUUUGGCUGCCUUAUCCUUAAGAAAGCUAUUGAAAGUGCUAGUAGUUGAAUAAUCAAAAUGGUUGUGCCUGGCACAAACAAUGGGGACUCAUCAAAUGUGAAACGGCCCAAAUCUCUAUCACUACUACUCUCUUUGUCGUCACUCGAAGAAGAUGACUCCUUUUUCGUUACUUCAAACACAGUCUCUGACAGUCCUAGUAGCUUGAGAACCACCGCCACUGCCCCAAGCAAGGAAGCACAGAUUGUGUUUAUCCUCGCCAUUCUCUCAUUAUUCCACCACGCUCUUGCUGAUUGGCCUGUUUCCCAAUAUUGUAACAGUUGUUGUAGAUUGUAAAACACAAACAGCAACAAAGGGAUGCAUCCUACUGGUUCUUGUACCUGCAUUCAAAAUUUAAAUGUCCAUUUGGUGGAUGAAGAGACGUAGCAAUGUUUAGAAGAUACUCUCUCAUUGUCAAUUGAUUAUUAAAUGAAAUCUGUAUUUUUAAUAA